AUUCAGUUGGGCGACUCUAGCGAGACUGCCGGUAAUAAACCGGAGGAAGGUGGGGAGUGACGUCAAAUCAUCAUGCCCCUUAUGACCUGGGCUACACACGUGCUACAAUGGUUGGUACAACGAGUUGCGAGUCGGUGACGGCGAGCUAAUCUCUUAAAGCCAAUCUCAGUUCGGAUUGUAGGCUGCAACUCGCCUACAUGAAGUCGGAAUCGCUAGUAAUCGCGGAUCAGCACGCCGCGGUGAAUCCGUUCCCGGGCCUU
Molecule: ribosomal RNA, 260 nt
Filed under: uncultured Streptococcus sp.
Lineage: Bacteria; Bacillati; Bacillota; Bacilli; Lactobacillales; Streptococcaceae
Description: partial 16S ribosomal RNA
Rfam family: Bacterial small subunit ribosomal RNA
Source: RNAcentral